This 57-nucleotide transfer RNA is filed under the name Tigriopus californicus. RNAcentral's name for it is "tRNA-Ala". The record is from RNAcentral. Lineage: Eukaryota; Metazoa; Arthropoda; Copepoda; Harpacticoida; Harpacticidae.
GAGUUUUAAGUCAUUAAGUAAUGAUAUUUUAUUUGCACUAAAAAGGAAAAAAACUUG